Pelobates cultripes (western spadefoot toad) is the source of this 304-nucleotide non-coding RNA. NCBI's taxonomy places the organism in Eukaryota, Metazoa, Chordata, Amphibia, Anura, Pelobatidae. The record is from the annotation of a GenBank genome assembly.
AAGAAAAAAUGUAAGACUUACCUCUUUUUUGGGCAGGCUAAUACGCGCCUCUGUGUCCUUAAGAAAAUCAUGACUUUAUGUCAUGUAAUUAGUAAAAUCUGGUAAUUUUAUUAAAGGACACGGAGGCUCAUAUUAGGCUAGUUUAAAGCUGUGAAAUAACCAUAGAAGAGAUGUGUUCUGCUGGAAGAAAAUAGUAAUCUUUGAACGUCGAUUCUCGAGACCAAUCAGCUGUGCGGAGAAGGUCCUCAAGUUUACAACCCAAUGUGAAUGCUUUUGAAGCAAUAGCACCUCUAGUAGAAUGAGC